This 65-nucleotide transfer RNA is filed under the name Phascolosoma similis. RNAcentral's name for it is "tRNA-Tyr". Lineage: Eukaryota; Metazoa; Annelida; Sipuncula; Phascolosomatiformes; Phascolosomatidae. The record is from RNAcentral.
GGUAAGGUGGCCGAACACAAGCGAAAGACUGUAAAUCUUUUCAUGGAACUUAAAUCCCCUUAUCU